CGGCGGACGGGUGAGUAACGCGUGGGUAACCGUGCCUCAUACAGGGGAGUAACAGUUGGAAACGGCUGCUAAUACCGCAUAAGCGCACAGUACCGCAUGGUACGGUGUGAAAAACUCCGGUGGUAUGAGAUGGACCCGCGUCUGGUUAGGUAGUUGGUGGGGUAACGGCCUACCAAGCCGACGAUCAGUAGCCGACCUGAGAGGGUGACCGGCCACAUUGGGACUGAGACACGGCCCAA
RNAcentral lists this ribosomal RNA (239 nucleotides) under uncultured bacterium. RNAcentral describes it as "partial 16S ribosomal RNA". It matches the Rfam family "Bacterial small subunit ribosomal RNA", at positions 96 to 334 of the family's 1533-position model. The record is from RNAcentral.